This 254-nucleotide ribosomal RNA is filed under the name uncultured bacterium. Its description in RNAcentral is "partial 16S ribosomal RNA". It matches the Rfam family "Bacterial small subunit ribosomal RNA", at positions 524 to 776 of the family's 1533-position model. The record is from RNAcentral.
CACGUAGGCACCAAGCGUUGUCCGGAUUUAUUGGGCGUAAAGAGCUCGUAGGCGGUUGAGUAAGUCGGGUGUGAAAACUCUGGGCUUAACCCAGAGCCGCCACUCGAUACUGCUCUGACUUGAGUACGGUAGGGGAGCAGGGAAUUCCUAGUGCAGCGGUGAAAUGCGCAGAUAUUAGGAGGAACACCGGUGGCGAAGGCGCUGCUCUGGGCCGAAACUGACGCUGAGGAGCGAAAGCGUGGGUAGCAAACAGG